CAGCAGCCGCGGGAAUACGAAGGGUGCAAGCGUUAAUCGGAAUUACUGGGCGUAAAGCGUGCGUAGGCGGUGAGUUAAGUCUGCUGUGAAAUCCCCGGGCUCAACCUGGGAAUGGCAGUGGAUACUGGCUCGCUAGAGUGUGUCAGAGGAUGGUGGAAUUCCCGGUGUAGCGGUGAAAUGCGUAGAGAUCGGGAGGAACAUCAGUGGCGAAGGCGGCCAUCUGGGACAACACUGACGCUGAGGCACGAAAGCGUGGGGAGCAAACAGGAUUAGAUACCCGUGUAGUCCCUGUCUCUUAUAA
RNAcentral lists this ribosomal RNA (301 nucleotides) under uncultured bacterium. RNAcentral's name for it is "partial 16S ribosomal RNA". It matches the Rfam family "Bacterial small subunit ribosomal RNA", at positions 509 to 809 of the family's 1533-position model. The record is from RNAcentral.